GAAACUCAAAGGAAUUGACGGGGACCCGCACAAGCAGUGGAGUAUGUGGUUUAAUUCGAAGCAACGCGAAGAACCUUACCAGGUCUUGACAUCCCUCUGACCGGUCUAGAGAUAGGCCUUUCCUUCGGGACAGAGGAGACAGGUGGUGCAUGGUUGUCGUCAGCUCGUGUCGUGAGAUGUUGGGUUAAGUCCCGCAACGAGCGCAACCCUUAUGCUUAGUUGCCAGCAGGUCAAGCUGGGCACUCUAAGCAGACUGCCGGUGACAAACCGGAGGAAGGUGGGGAUGACGUCAAAUCAUCAUGCCCCUUAUGACCUGGGCUACACACGUACUACAAUGGCCGGUACAACGGGAAGCGAAAUCGCGAGGUGGAGCCAAUCCUAGAAAAGCCGGUCUCAGUUCGGAUUGUAGGCUGCAACUCGCCUACAUGAAGUCGGAAUUGCUAGUAAUCGCGGAUCAGCAUGCCGCGGUGAAUACGUUCCCGGGUCUUGUACACACCGCCCGUCACACCACGAGAGUUUACAACACCCGAAGUCGGUGGGGUAACCCGCAAGGGAGCCAGCCGCCGAAGGUGGGGUAGAUGAUUGGGGUGAAGUCGUAACAAGGUAGCCGUAUCGGAAGGUGCGGCUGGAUCACCUCCUUU
Molecule: ribosomal RNA, 641 nt
Filed under: Paenibacillus polymyxa
Lineage: Bacteria; Bacillati; Bacillota; Bacilli; Caryophanales; Paenibacillaceae
Description: bacterial SSU rRNA
Rfam family: Bacterial small subunit ribosomal RNA
Source: RNAcentral